RNAcentral lists this transfer RNA (84 nucleotides) under Nitrososphaerota archaeon. Its description in RNAcentral is "Thaumarchaeota archaeon tRNA-Leu". It matches the Rfam family "tRNA". From Rfam's summary of the family: Transfer RNA (tRNA) molecules are approximately 80 nucleotides in length. Their secondary structure includes four short double-helical elements and three loops (D, anti-codon, and T loops). Further hydrogen bonds mediate the characteristic L-shaped molecular structure. tRNAs have two regions of fundamental functional importance: the anti-codon, which is responsible for specific mRNA codon recognition, and the 3' end, to which the tRNAs corresponding amino acid is attached (by aminoacyl-tRNA synthetases). tRNAs cope with the degeneracy of the genetic code in two manners: having more than one tRNA (with a specific anti-codon) for a particular amino acid; and 'wobble' base-pairing, i.e. permitting non-standard base-pairing at the 3rd anti-codon position. The record is from RNAcentral. Lineage: Archaea; Thermoproteati; Nitrososphaerota.
GCAGGAGUAUCGAAGUAGGUCAAACGAGGGGGACUCAAGAUCCCCUCUCCAAGGAGUUCGUGGGUUCAAAUCCCAUCUCCUGCA